GACUUCCCGAGGCAGCAGCUUGUGACCAGCAAUGUGCCUGCAUGAGAGCUGCUGUGCAGGAGCUGUGCAAAGAGCACCCUGGCUACACUGGGGAGUGCUUGGGAACUCACUGUGGAAACCAGAAAUGAGUACCAGCCAAGACCUGGAGUGGUGUCUCCACCUCCUUAACUGCCAUCAAGAGGAACUUGGGACAAAGCCCAUGGAACACCUGAACCCUCCCUUCUCACGGGCUGGUGCUGUGGUGGAAAAUUUGUUUUCUGGAUCAGCCCAUGAAAGAGUUUUGGUGACAUUAAGGAAACCCCUCGGAGUGUGGAGAAACAAACGGAAUGCGAAGAUGGGAGAGACCAGAACAGGUUGACACAGAGAGGCAAACAAAAAGCUGGGCUGAAGCUUCUGCUGUUCUUUAUGGACUUGUAGAUUCAUCCCUGAUUCUGCCCCAGACCUGUGUGAGCCCAGGAAAAUCAUCUGUGAUCUGCAGAAUAGUAAUGAUGCUGGUGUUUGGGUGCCCAGACAGGCUGGAGGCAUUAAUGCACAGCAGUAUGCUGCAGGAACUGGCUCUGAAAUGUGGGAGAUCAGGAAAUGUCAGCAACUUAGAAAAUGUUUUCCAUAGUUAUUUUGGGUGGCAGGGUUGUGCGCCUGUGAGUAUUCCUCUGAGUGGGCUCAAAAGUAGAUUUACUUCAGAACAAGAGGAUAAAGGGGAAAAAGCAAAACUCCGUGUUCUAGCUCACCCUGUGCCUGUACACGUCCUCAGAACUGUCCACCUGGGUACAGAAGAUGCACAGCUAUGAACAUUCCUGGGUUUCAUGUCUUCAUGACCAAGCUGCCCAUGCUGGAAGCCCAAGCACUGUAGUUAAUGGUCUCCAGUUCUCCGAGGCAUAUGAGUUUGCACUAUCUGGAAAGUGUCCCCAAAACUGAUGGCAUGUGGAACUGCCUGGAGGACUCAAUGCUCUGUUCUGUGCCUGAGGUAUAUUAAGCAUUAUUGGUAUAUCCACGUUGUAAAUGGCCAUUUGACCUAUAUCUGCACUGUAAAUGAACCCAGCCACAGAGGAUCUCUUCAUGCAUCCUUCUUUCCCCAACACCAUCCCUCAG
Chiroxiphia lanceolata (lance-tailed manakin) is the source of this 1089-nucleotide long non-coding RNA. RefSeq lists it as uncharacterized. The transcript has 3 exons. The record is from RefSeq and is a predicted model, not a curated record. Lineage: Eukaryota; Metazoa; Chordata; Aves; Passeriformes; Pipridae.